AGAGUUUGAUCCUGGCUCAGAACGAACGCUGGCGGCGUGGAUAAGACAUGCAAGUCGAACGCUGGUUUGCGGGUAGUAAUAUUUGCAAACUGGAGUGGCGCAAGGGUGUGUAACACGUGGGUAAUCUGCCGUGAAGUCCGGGAUAACUUGCUGAAAGGCGAGCUAAUACCGGAUGUGAACGCAAGUUCAAAGUUGGGGACCGCAAGGCCUGACGCUUCACGAUGAGCCCGCGGCCUAUCAGCUAGUUGGUGAGGUAACGGCUCACCAAGGCUAAGACGGGUAGCUGGUCUGAGAGGACGACCAGCCACACUGGAACUGAGACACGGUCCAGACACCUACGGGUGGCAGCAGUCGAGAAUUUUUCUCAAUGGGCGAAAGCCUGAAGGAGCGACGCCGCGUGGGGGAUGAAUGGCUUCGGCCCGUAAACCCCUGUCAUUUGCGAACAAAUUGCUUCACCUAACACGUGAAGCAUUGAUUGUAGCGGAAGAGGAAGGGACGGCUAACUCUGUGCCAGCAGCCGCGGUAAUACAGAGGUCCCAAGCGUUGUUCGGAUUCACUGGGCGUAAAGGGUGCGUAGGCGGCCAGGUAAGUUUGAUGUGAAAUCCCGCAGCUCAACUGCGGAACUGCAUUGAAUACUAUUUGGCUCGAGGAAUGGAGGGGAGACUGGAAUUCUCGGUGUAGCAGUGAAAUGCGUAGAUAUCGAGAGGAACACCAGUGGCGAAGGCGAGUCUCUGGACAUUUCCUGACGCUCAGGCACGAAAGCCAGGGGAGCAAACGGGAUUAGAUACCCUAGUAGUCC
RNAcentral lists this ribosomal RNA (799 nucleotides) under uncultured bacterium. Its description in RNAcentral is "bacterial SSU rRNA". It matches the Rfam family "Bacterial small subunit ribosomal RNA", at positions 8 to 796 of the family's 1533-position model. The record is from RNAcentral.